AAAGUGGAAUCCACCACGACUGCCUGACUGCAUCCUCACAGUGGAGCCGCUUCUAGAGGGGAAUCACCUCCAAAAUCUUCCUGCCUCACGCUCACCUUCCAAACUGCUGCUGUUUCUCCCACGCUCUCCCAGGCUGGAAAGCGGUUUCCAUGCCAGCCAGGCAUCCAGGACAAUGGCAGACAUGGAGGAGGAGGAGGCUGGCUCCUUGCUGGGCUGGCUGGCAUCGGAUCCAUUUGGCACAGCGAGAAACAUCACCCUGAAGAUGCAGCUCAAACACGGCUGAACUCAGAGCCAAAGAGAAGCUGGGCACCACUGAUGAUGUUAUUCAUCACUGAAGGAUUAGUUUAAAGAAGAGUUCUGCAGAAAUGAAUAAACUUGACAGAGAA
Cyanistes caeruleus (blue tit) is the source of this 386-nucleotide long non-coding RNA. RefSeq lists it as uncharacterized. NCBI's taxonomy places the organism in Eukaryota, Metazoa, Chordata, Aves, Passeriformes, Paridae. The record is from RefSeq and is a predicted model, not a curated record.